Molecule: ribosomal RNA, 511 nt
Filed under: uncultured bacterium
Lineage: Bacteria
Description: partial 16S ribosomal RNA
Rfam family: Bacterial small subunit ribosomal RNA
Source: RNAcentral
GACGAACGCUGGCGGCGUGCCUAAUACAUGCAAGUAGAACGCUGAAGGAGGAGCUUACUUCUCUGGAUGAGUUGCGAACGGGUGAGUAACGCGUAGGUAACCUGCCUGGUAGCGGGGGAUAACUAUUGGAAACGAUAGCUAAUACCGCAUAAGAGUAGAUGUUGCAUGACAUUUACUUAAAAGGUGCAAUUGCACCACUACCAGAUGGACCUGCGUUGUAUUAGCUAGUUGGUGGGGUAACGGCCUACCAAGGCGACGAUACAUAGCCGACCUGAGAGGGUGAUCGGCCACACUGGGACUGAGACACGGCCCAGACUCCUACGGGAGACAGCAGUAGGGAAUCUUCGGCAAUGGACGGAAGUCUGACCGAGCAACGCCGCGUGAGUGAAGAAGGUUUUCGGAUCGUAAAGCUCUGUUGUAAGAGAAGAACGAGUGUGAGAGUGGAAAGUUCACACUGUGACGGUAUCUUACCAGAAAGGGACGGCUAACUACGUGCCAGCCGCCGCGGUAA